GAUGAAGAACGCAGUGAAAUGCGAUACGUAAUGUGAAUUGCAGAAUUCAGUGAAUCAUCGAGUCUUUGAACGCACAUUGCGCCCCCUGGUAUUCCGGGGGGCAUGCCUGUCCGAGCGUCAUUGCUGCCCUCAAGCACGGCUUGUGUGUUGGGCCUCCGUCCUCCUCCCGGGGGACGGGCCCGAAAGGCAGCGGCGGCACCGCGUCCGGUCCUCGAGCGUAUGGGGCUUCGUCACCCGCUCUUGUAGGCCCGGCCGGCGCUUGCCGACACAUCAAUCUUUUUUCCAGGUUGACCUCGGAUCAGGUAGGGAUACCCGCUGAACUUAAGCAUAUCAAUAAGCGGAGG
Molecule: unclassified non-coding RNA, 344 nt
Filed under: soil metagenome
Description: partial contains 5.8S ribosomal RNA, internal transcribed spacer 2, and large subunit ribosomal RNA
Rfam family: 5.8S ribosomal RNA (bases 1-120)
Source: RNAcentral